GGGACAACAGUUGGAAACGACUGCUAAUACCGCAUAAGCCCACGGGUCGGCAUCGACCUGAGGGAAAAGGAGUGAUCCGCUUUGAGAUGGCCUCGCGUCCGAUUAGCUAGUUGGUGAGGUAACGGCCCACCAAGGCAACGAUCGGUAGCCGGACUGAGAGGUUGAACGGCCACAUUGGGACUGAGACACGGCCCAGACUCCCACGGGAGGCAGCAGUGGGGAAUAUUGCACAAUGGGGGAAACCCUGAUGCAGCGACGCCGCGUGGAGGAAGAAGGUCUUCGGAUUGUAAACUCCUGUUGUUGAGGAAGAUAAUGACGGUACUCAACAAGGAAGUGACGGCUAACUACGUGCCAGCAGCCGCGGUAAAACGUAGGUCACAAGCGUUGUCCGGAAUUACUGGGUGUAAAGGGAGCGCAGGCGGGAAGACAAGUUGGAAGUGAAAUCUAUGGGCUCAACCCAUAAACUGCUUUCAAAACUGUUUUUCUUGAGUAGUGCAGAGGUAGGCGGAAUUCCCGGUGUAGCGGUGGAAUGCGUAGAUAUCGGGAGGAACACCAGUGGCGAAGGCGGCCUACUGGGCACCAACUGACGCUGAGGCUCGGAAGUGUGGGUAGCAAACAGGAUUAGAUACCCUGGUAGUCCACACCGUAA
Molecule: ribosomal RNA, 649 nt
Filed under: uncultured bacterium
Lineage: Bacteria
Description: bacterial SSU rRNA
Rfam family: Bacterial small subunit ribosomal RNA
Source: RNAcentral